CCCGGCAGUUCUACUCCUAGGUAUAUUCUCAAGAGAAAUGAAAACACAGAUCUACAUCAAAACUUGUAGACAGCUGUUCAUAGCAAUGGUAUUCGUAAUAGCCAAAAGUGGAAACAGUUGAAAUGUACAUCAACCAAUGGCAUAUGCAUACAACAAAAUAUUAUUUGGUACAACAUGGAUGAACCUUGAAAGCAUUGUGUUAAAUGAAGGAAAGCCAGGCACUAAUGUCACAUUUUAUAAUUCCAUGUACAUGAAAUGUGAAGAAAUGGCAAAUUUAUAGAGGCGGAAAGUAGAUUAGUAGUUGUCUAGACCUGAGGGAUCAGAGGGGAAAUGGAGAGUAACUAUUUAUGGGUAUGAGGUUUCUUUGCGGGGAGAUGAAAAUGUUCAAAAACUGAUUGUGGUGAUAGUUAUACAACACCGUGAACAUACUAAAAAAAAAUCAUUGAAUUGAAGCUUUUAAAUUGUGAAUUUUAUGAAAAUAAACCUGUUUAUAAAAAAAGUUCUGAGCCAUGGACAAAGGGUGUGUUUUAUUUCAGUCCUGAGAAUAUAUUUCCACUGCUAUUGGUUUAAAGGAGAGCUUUAUGAAAAUCUUGGCCUCAUUUUCUGAUCAAGUUUCCACAACUGCCAGAUGAGGUUGGUAGAGCAGAGAUUAUGCUUGUUUACAGAAGGCUGGUUUCAAUCUGUUAGGUGGCUUGCUUAGGGUCGUACAUCCAACUUGGAAGGAGGAGGGCUGAGGUGCUGGCUCAUAGGAUGAGCCCAGAGAAGUUUUAUCACAAGAAGAACCAUCUGCAAACACUUCCACCCUCUCAAGAAGUCCUUCAGAGAGAGGUUUAUCCGCUCAGUGAAAAGGGUAGGAGGCUGAUAGCCGCUGGGUCCGCACACCAGGGGCGGGGCCAAGCCCAUAAAGCCUCAGGCUCAUCACUGCCCUCUCACUUUUGAACUCCCAGCUCAGGUUCCCUGGGGGCUCAUUUUGUGCAUCACAACAAGAGGGUGCUUGCUUGUACUGCCUACCUGUCCUCUGCCGUCAGCAUCCAGCAUCUCCAUCUGGGACUAGGUGAGUGUUCUAAUGAUCUCUUGCUGAGAACCAAAGCUUAGUGACUGAAAACAACAGCCAUUCCAUCAUAUAUCACAGUUUUAUAGAUUAGGGAUUUGACUGGG
This 1158-nucleotide long non-coding RNA is filed under the name Bos indicus x Bos taurus (hybrid cattle). RNAcentral describes it as "lncRNA (ENSBIXG00000011165.1)". Lineage: Eukaryota; Metazoa; Chordata; Mammalia; Artiodactyla; Bovidae. The record is from RNAcentral.